CUCAUUCAAUUACUAUUUAAUAAAAUCAUGUGAUAUGCAUUAGUAAUGGACAAUCUCCACUUUCAAAAUAUAAAAUCAACAGAGGGAAUAUUAAACUUCAGAUUCCAUAACAAAGAAAAACCUAAAAACGCACAACAAAAGCCAGAAAACACAAUGACUUUGUUCCAGCAAGUGUCCAAAACCAAAACCAAAGCCUAUAUUAUAUCCCUUUCAUCGUGAACCCAUCAUACAUAGUUCCAAGAAAAACCCAUCAUUUGGAAUUUUUCCUAGCUAUUUGUUUAAGCGGAUAAGAUAGAAUCACAUCUUCAUCUCUGGAUUGAGGGCUUAGGAAAAGACUAACCCGGCCCCUUGGAAGGGUUGAACCCAGAUGCUAACUGAAAUACAAGACAAAAGCAAGAGGCAUAUAACUAAACCCAAAUAGGAACAUUUAUAUUCAAGUCUUUAUGCUAGAGAACUGAUACCAUAAAUAAAAUUUCAACUUAAAUAUUGCAAGAUUUUACACACAAAAAAGUAUAGAGGGAAAAAAAAUUAGAAUGGCCAUUUUCGAACUUGGAAAUAACAUUAAAAUGCUUCUGUCAGCAUUAAUCUAUAACUUGAAUAGUUUGCGAAAUCUUUUACAAUUCUAUGAUAUCCACAGUAUGUAAACAAAGUAAAUUCCGUCCAUGCAUCUGAAUCUCCUAUAAGCCUAUGCCUAAAGACUGACGAGCAACUAUUAUAAAUUAUGAAGACUAUAAGAGAUUAUCAACAAAUUUACCUAGUAGAACAACUAACAAAAAAAGACAACUAAACCAUAAUCAAACUCUGAUCUCUCGCAAUUUAUACAGAAUUAAACUUGAACCCAGCCUCUUUUUCUUUUAUUUUUUCCCAUAUCAAACAAAGCAUAACUUACUUGAAGAAGUCUGUUUACAAACAGGUAAGUCUAUUUCCUUACCCUUAAUCCAUAUGACCUAAAGGCAUUAUUAGGGUAGAAGAAAUCCAGAGAAAAGAGACCAUCAACCUAUAUUUCAAUCCAGAAAAAAAGAGAGAAUUGAACAAAUUACCAUGCUAUAUCCCUUUAAGAAAACUAUGAAAAUCUUGCUCUCUAACCAUUUUUAACAGCCAAUAUAAAAAUUUACUACUACCCGUACUAUAAUGACAAUUAAACACAUCCAGAUGUCCCAUAACUUUCAUCACUCAUUCACUGGACAAAAUAAGCUUUCGUAUAACAACUAUUAGAAAGACUAAAGAGUAAAGGGGGUAUCCUUUGUAAUCCAUUUCUGAGUGCAAAGAAAAGAAGACAUAAGCCACUUCUUUUCAAUUCAAAAUUCCUUUUGUCCGACAGGCACACUGCGGUCAUAGUGUGGCUCCAGGACUAUCCAUAAAGUUUAUGCAUCCAUAAAAUCUAUACAUGUUUUUUAAUUAACAUCCUUCAAAUACAACAGAGAGGAAAUCACAAAAAGAUGCCAUAUUUUACAAUGAAAAGUCUUUUUAUGGUCGAUCACCAAUAUGACAUUGAUUAUAAGGAGGGUCAAUAAGGAUGAAACUUGAGGGACAGAAGUGAGUACAAGGGUAAAUAAGUAGAUCUAUAUAAAUAUUUUUAAAGACAACUAACUAUCUUUUUAGUCCUAUCCAAAAAGUCUUAAUACCGUAUAGCGUAUGGCCCAAAAAGUUAAAUAAAAUAACUAAUAAACGGGCAAGUCUUAAUACUAGUCUUCGGCCCCAAAAAUUACAUAAACUAACUUAUAAACAGGCCCAUGCUUGGCACUGGCUUAUGAACUAGUGCAGCAUAAAGUUGAACUAUCCAUUUCCAUAGUUCGUAUAACCAGGAAGGAAUCUCAAUACCAGUAAGAUAGAGGAUGGUAAAGGGAAUUACUACAUCUGAUUCCCAGAAGUCAAGGAAUGUUUCAUCACUUUACAUAUAGAUUACAUCAUCGCUGGGAAAAAUGGUUAAAUAAAUUCAUUAAAAUAAAACAGAAUAACAAUAUAAGUGGAGGAACGGUUCAAAAAUGUACUUGAUGACUAGUUGUCAUCUAGGUUUUAUCAGAUAUGAUGCACCAAGAAUUGCCUACGACAGUACAUGUGACGACCCCAAAUCCAGGUACUUGAAAUCCGAACUCGGUUCUCCACGAUACCAUUUCUUUAAGCUGAAUAAUACUAAAUAAUAAUACAUUCAAACUUAAUUUACAUACAUCAAAGUUUACUUCCCCAGGUGCGUGACCUUCAAAUACAUUCCUUACAAUACUUGAAUAGAUACCAAUACAACUAUAAUCAUUAACUCAUAAUACACACUUAUUCGAUCAGCUUUCCUUUUUCAUUUGUUCGUGCCUGAGCCUUCAGGUUGCUCAUACAUAACUGAAAACAUUUAAUUUAAGCAAGGAUGAGCAUUUAAGUGCCCAGCAAGUAAUAACAAUUAUAUAUAAGCUGAAAGAAUAUAAGUAUUCUCUUUACAUAACACUUCUACAACGAAUUGAAAGUUAUGAAGUAAUCUGUACUGAUAAAAAAAUCACAUAACAACUCUCUUUCAAAUUCUUUAAAUUUGGCUCUGGCUCUACCCUUGAAUAGGGUUUAAGAAACAUACUAUGAACAUUCUUUUCAUUUUCGAAAAGGUUUAGCGGAAUUCUAUCCUCAAACCGUCAUAACUUACGGGCACGGAGGGUGAUCAGCCCCGUUGUACCCUGUAUUGAUCAAUACUACAUAACUUGAACGAAAUUCAUCGCUCACUCUAUCCGCCUUGCGCAAAAAUCUUCCCAUAUAGGGAUGUUCAUACAUGCCUGGUUCCAAACCCGAAGGUUUUUAAUCUUGCUCAACAAUAAUAUGUAAUUCAACAUAUAUAUACGGGUAAUUGACAAAGGUGUAUCAACAUGUGAACAAAUGCCAUGAUUAUCCAAGUGGGGACACUUGUAUAACCAUUUAUAGAAAUCAAUGAACAGAAUAUAUAUCUGAGCUAACAUGUCGAUAAUCAAAGAGUACAUAAUCUGUACAGGGAUAGAAUAAUUCUGAAACUUCUUACUCAUGUCCAUUGCAUAAAGGAAGUGCAAAGGUAGGAUACUUGCCUGAUUCGCUGAUUACAAAUCUCAACUUAGGUUUUAUCUCUUUAUCACAACCUAUCAAUAAUCAGAUCAUUCGUUCGAUUAGAACAAUAUAUCUUAACACAUAGUACUGUCUAUUACAGUCAGCACAUAGUCUAAUCACAUAAUCACAGUGAUCAUACUUUUAGUUCCUAUUCUAUACUUGAAAUAUUUUUAUACAUUUUUCAAAUAUCUCAUCCAUGCUCUUACAGUAGUCUUUUCUUUCUUUUAUAAGGUCUGACAUUUGUCGGCGUACCGACAGCUUUAUCGGGUAAAUACUGAGUCUAAGACUCUUAUUCUAUACCUCAACAUCUGUAAAUAUCAGACAUCUUAUUUUUAAUCAUUUUCGCAAUUUCCAGAAAUUGAAAAAUUUAAAAUAAUUCAAAUCUGUCACUAAAGGGCCUAUAGUGAUAUAACUGUUACUAUAGGUGUUCUUCUUCAAAUUCAGAACUUCAUAAUCGGUUCUCAAGUCAGCUAGUUUGGCCGGCUAUAACUUUCAAAUAUCGGAAUCAUAAUUAAAUGAUUUAAACAUUAAACAAUUCCAUUAUCAUUAAUAGUUUAAUUAAUACUAAACUAUUAAUGAAACCAUUGCCAAAAUAUAAAAGUUAUUUAUAAUAACUCAAACUAUUUUUAAAACAUUUAUAUUACCCAAAUAAUUACCAUUAAUAUUUAAAUAUUAAUGUACUAUUUAUCCAAAUAUUAAAAGUCAUUAAUUAUAACUUAAAAUAUUUUUAAAUCCUUAAUAUCCUCUUUAAAUGGUUUUUAAAUAAGUAAAACCAUUUUUAAACUAUUUAUUUAAUAUUAAUCAUUAAAUAAACUAAAUAUCAUUAAUAUUAUCUUAAUAUCAUUAAUAUUUAAUUAUUAAUGAAAUUAUCAUUUAAAUAUUAAAAGUUAUAUUUUAUAACUUAAAAUAUUUUUAAAUACCUUAUUUUCAUUUAAAAUGAUUUUUAUAAUAUUAAAAUCAUUUUUAAACUAAAUUAUUUAAUAUAAUCAUUAAAUAACUUUAAUAUCAUUAAUAAUUAUUAAUUAAUGAAAUUCAUCACAAAAUAUUAAAAGUCAUCACAAAUAACUCAUUUACAUAAUCAAUUCCAAGCCAAAAUAAACAUAGUAAACUAACUAGUUUAUUAACAACACUAACUAAACUUCAAAAAUUCAAACUUUAACUAACAAUUAAAAAUAAUAACAUUACAAAAAUUAAAUAAGAAACAUACCCGGAAAUACGAAUUCCACAGACUGAAUACGCACUUCCACGCCAAAAUUUAACUAAGGAGAUCUUUAUAAAAAGUUCUCCCACAACAAAGCCUUUCUCAAAAAUUGGAGGCCUU
RNAcentral lists this long non-coding RNA (4372 nucleotides) under Panax ginseng (ginseng). RNAcentral's name for it is "long non-coding RNA (PGIN_LNC001353)". Lineage: Eukaryota; Viridiplantae; Streptophyta; Magnoliopsida; Apiales; Araliaceae. The record is from RNAcentral.